AGUGGUUUUCCGUUGCACAUGCGUACAUAGCAUGCAUGCGCAACGGGAGAUCAACGG
Molecule: microRNA precursor, 57 nt
Filed under: Lottia gigantea (owl limpet)
Lineage: Eukaryota; Metazoa; Mollusca; Gastropoda; Lottiidae
Description: Lgi-Mir-1988_pre stem-loop
Source: RNAcentral